UACGUAGGACCCAAGCGUUAUCCGGAAUUACUGGGCGUAAAGAGUUGCGUAGGUGGCAUGUUAAGCGGGCAGUGAAAUCGUGUGGCUCAACCAUACAAACAUUGUCUGAACUGGCAAGCUAGAGUGCGAUAGAGGUAACUGGAAUUCCAAGUGUAGGAGUGAAAUCCGUAGAUAUUUGGAGGAACACCGAUGGCGUAGGCAGGUUACUGGAUCGCAACUGACACUGAGGCACGAAAGCGUGGGGAGCAAACGGG
Molecule: ribosomal RNA, 254 nt
Filed under: uncultured bacterium
Lineage: Bacteria
Description: partial 16S ribosomal RNA
Rfam family: Bacterial small subunit ribosomal RNA
Source: RNAcentral